CGCAUCUGUGCAUGCAGUAUAUCAAUAAGCGGAGGAAAAGAAACUAACAAGGAUUCUCCUAGUAACGGCGAGUGAAGCGGGAAGAGCUCAAAUUUGAAAUCUUAAAGGGUUUCCCUUUACGAAUUGUAGUUUAAAGAAGUGUUUUCUGUUGAGGUUUUGGUAAAAGUUCUUCGGAAUAGGACAUCAUAGAGGGUGAGAAUCCCGUAUUUGACCUUUACUUUCAACUUUGUGAUACACUUUCAAAGAGUCGGAUUGUUUGGGAAUGCAGUCCAAAAUGGGUGGUAAAUUUCAUCUAAAGCUAAAUAUUGGCGAGAGACCGAUAGCGAACAAGUACCGUGAGGGAAAGAUGAAAAGAACUUUGAAAAGAGAGUUAAACAGUACGUGAAAUUGUCAAAAGGGAAGCGUUUGACACCAGUGUUGUUUUUCUGAAAAUCAAUUAAAGAACUGUUUAUGCUAAGCUGUUUAGACUUUAUCAGCUAACUGUUUAGUUUUGAGCUCUUCUUUAAUGCACUUUUCAGUUAACAAGUCAACAUCAAUUUCUUUUGCUGUAAAAAAGCUUGAGGAAGGUGGCUUGAGAUUCGUCUUAAGUGUUUAUAGGCCUCUUGCCUAUGCAGUCGGAGAGAUUGAGGUCUGCAGCGUAGAUCCUUCGGGGCUAAAUGCAUUUGUGCUAAGUUAUAACAUUUUAUAGACAACUUGUUGACUAUGAUUUGUCUUGUAGCUUACUCGCUUAUGUUAUUUUACCUACGCUUAGGAUGUUGAACGCGCACAGAGUCUC
This 775-nucleotide ribosomal RNA is filed under the name uncultured Neocallimastigales. RNAcentral describes it as "partial large subunit ribosomal RNA". It matches the Rfam family "Eukaryotic large subunit ribosomal RNA", at positions 26 to 635 of the family's 3401-position model. Lineage: Eukaryota; Fungi; Neocallimastigomycota; Neocallimastigomycetes; Neocallimastigales. The record is from RNAcentral.